UUCCAUGUUUAUAAUUUCGCCUUUCAUUCGCAAUUGUUGCAUUACAAUUUUCAACUUAUUAAUUCAAAAUUAAUUAUUCCAUUUUAUUUCAAGUCAAACUAAUUCCUUUUAAGCCGGCUUUACAAUUGUUUAUCUCUAAAAAUAAAGGCAAUGUUUGAUAUUUGAAAAUUUGAAAAAUCGUACCCUAACGUGCUGGAUUUCUAUUUUUCGUUUGUCCAAAAUAAUCAAAUAUCCCUUUAAAAUUUCGUCCGUGUUUUCUAAAUUUUAAAAUAAAGCAAUGUUUUAUGUUUGGAAAUCCAAG
RNAcentral lists this long non-coding RNA (301 nucleotides) under Gossypium barbadense (sea-island cotton). RNAcentral's name for it is "long non-coding RNA (GBAR_LNC003980)". Lineage: Eukaryota; Viridiplantae; Streptophyta; Magnoliopsida; Malvales; Malvaceae. The record is from RNAcentral.